RNAcentral lists this ribosomal RNA (986 nucleotides) under uncultured fungus. RNAcentral describes it as "eukaryotic LSU rRNA". The stretch from base 337 to 986 matches the Rfam family "Eukaryotic large subunit ribosomal RNA", at positions 1 to 664 of the family's 3401-position model. Lineage: Eukaryota; Fungi. The record is from RNAcentral.
AUCGAUGAAGAACGCAGCGAAAUGCGAUAAGUAAUGUGAAUUGCAGAAUUCAGUGAAUCAUCGAAUCUUUGAACGCACCUUGCGCUCCUUGGUAUUCCGAGGAGCAUGCCUGUUUGAGUGUCUUGAAGUCAUCAACCCUCCUUGCUUUUUGGCGGGGCAGGGCUUGGAGUUUGAGGGCUUUGCUGCCGAAGGGCGGCUCCCUCCAAAUGCUUCGGUUGGGCCUGCGGGUCGAACUCGACUGGGCGUUGUACCAUCCUCGCUCGACCGAGAUGUUCCCCUUUCUGUGCCGCGACCCCGACCGCCUGUGGAGCGGCGGUCAACAAGCAAUUUGAAAUCUGACCUCAAAUCAGGUAGGACUACCCGCUGAACUUAAGCAUAUCAAUAAGCGGAGGAAAAGAAACUAACAAGGAUUCCCCUAGUAACUGCGAGUGAAGCGGGAAAAGCUCAAAUUUGAAAUCUGGCGGUUCUGCCGUCCGAGUUGUAUUCUGGAGAAGUGCCUUCCGUGCCGGACCGUGUACAAGUCCCUUGGAACAGGGCGUCAUAGAGGGUGAGAAUCCCGUCUUUGACACGGACUGCCGGUGCUCUGUGAUGCGCUCUCGAAGAGUCGAGUUGUUUGGGAAUGCAGCUCAAAACGGGUGGUAAAUUCCAUCUAAAGCUAAAUAUUGGCGAGAGACCGAUAGCGAACAAGUACCGUGAGGGAAAGAUGAAAAGCACUUUGGAAAGAGAGUAAAACAGUACGUGAAAUUGUUGAAAGGGAAACGCUUGAAGUCAGUCGCGUCUGCCGGAACUCAGCCUUGCUUCUGCUUGGUGCACUUUCCGGUUCGACGGGCCAGCAUCGGUUUUGUGAGGCGGACACUGGCGGGUGGAAGGUGGCGGCUCCGGUCGCGUUAUAGCCUCCCGUCGCGAACGCCUCGUGGGACCGAGGAAUCCGGCGCAAGCCUGGGAUGCUGGCGUAAUGGCUUUAAACGACCCGUCUUGAAACACGG